GGGGAUUUAGCUCAGCGGCAUAAGCGCCUGCCUUGCAAGCAGGCAGUCAUGUGUUCAAUCCCUG
This is a transfer RNA of Cavia porcellus (domestic guinea pig), 64 nucleotides long. It matches the Rfam family "tRNA". Rfam says of the family: Transfer RNA (tRNA) molecules are approximately 80 nucleotides in length. NCBI's taxonomy places the organism in Eukaryota, Metazoa, Chordata, Mammalia, Rodentia, Caviidae. The record is from Rfam.